This 463-nucleotide long non-coding RNA is filed under the name Sinocyclocheilus anshuiensis. Its description in RNAcentral is "lncRNA (ENSSANG00000040810.1)". Lineage: Eukaryota; Metazoa; Chordata; Actinopteri; Cypriniformes; Cyprinidae. The record is from RNAcentral.
UUCAACCAUGUACAAGAGUAACCAUUGGUAAUGCCAAAAUCUGCCUGAGCCUGGGCUACAGGGGCAGGGUGAACUUAACAGAGAAACAGGAUGGAGCCUUGCAAUUGCAGCCAGGUCCAGUGUAUGCCAGAGAUGGAGAUAAAAGCAUAAAUGAAGAGAUAAGCUAUAAAAUUGUUCGAGGAAAUGAGGACAACAUAUUUCAGAUUGAUGAGAAAUCUGGAAACAUAUCCAUGCUGAAACCAGCAGAUAUAGCUGGCCCUAUAUCUCUCUUAGUUUUGGCUUCCCAGGUAGUAAAUAGAGAUCAGUUUGCCACCACUUCAGUCACUAUUGAUGUAAUGAAAAAGAGCAGAAAUGCUCCAAGGUUUGAGAAGGACCGAUAUGAAGGGUAUGUUUACAGUAAUUCAGGGCCUGAAAACAUGGUGCUAAGGGACAGGACAUCCAACAGACCCAUCAGAGUCAGAGC